AUGGCGGACUUCGCGCUUGGGCUGACCAAGACGGCGGUGGAGGGGACCUUGAGCAGGGUCAAGUCGGCGAUAGAGGAGGAGGCGAGGCUCAAGGAGAAGGUGCAUCACGACCUGGUGUUCAUCACCGCCGAGUUCCAGAUGAUGCAGUCCUUCCUCAACGUCGCCAACAAGGAGCGCGCCAAGAAUGAGGUGGUGCGGACCUGGGUGAGGCAGCUCCGCGACCUGGCCUUUGACGUGGAGGACUGCGUCGAGUUUGUUGUCCAUCUGGACAACAAGUCGACGUGGUGGUGGCGCAUGGUGCCGUCCUGCGUGGUACCGCAGCGGCACCGGCACCUCGACGAGGCAGCCGCCGAGAUAAAGCUGCUCAAGGCCAGGGUGGAGGAUGUUAGCCAGAGGAACACACGCUACAACCUCAUCAGCGACUCCGGCUCCCAUGCCAAGACCAUCACGGUGCAGGUGGAGCACUCGGCCCCGGCCAACCCAUCACCAUCAACAGCAUUCCCUCUCCUAUGGGAAGUGUGGGAGGCUGCUGGAAGGACACGCAACAUCCACAACCUCCAAGAUCUCAUCACUCGUGAAAGCACAGCAGGUGAUCUUGGAGCCACCUCCAUAUUCAGAAAGGCGUAUUGUGACAGAAAAGUCAUGGAAAAAUUCAAGAUCCGGGUCUGGAUAAAGCUGAUGCAUCCUUUUAACCGGGAGGAGUUCCUCAAGAGCCUGCUGAUUCAGUUAUGCACAAGCUCUCACCAAGCAACUGUGGGAAUGGAGGACUUCCGGACAAGGAUGAAAGCAGCAGCACCAGUUACUCAAGGCGAUCUCAUCAAGGCUGAGCAAAUCAUGGAAGGGAAUAGGUAUCUCGUCUUCCUGGAAGAGGUAUCCACUCUGGUAGAGUGGGAUGCCAUCAAAAUGUACCUGCCUGACUCUAAGAAUGGCAGUCGGAUUGUCAUGUCUGCCCAUGACUUAGGGGUUGCACUUAUGUGCACUGGGGAGCCAUAUGAAGUAUCACAGCUCAGACACUUCUCUCACGGUCAAUCCAUUUGUGCAUUUUUCAAGACGGUCUCCUCAUGCCGUCGCCGUGAUAGGGAUGAACUUAAACGACUGAUAAGACAAGGCGGUGUGAUCUCCGUGCAUGGUCGCACUCAGAGAAAAUUAAAUAUUGUCAAAGAAUUGUACCGCUGCAUAAAACACAAUUAUCAGGAACAAUAUUUAGAUUUGAGCUUUGAAACGUACAGAUGGGUCAAUGUUUCCAAUCCGCUCAAUCGGAUGGACUUUCCUCGAUGCUUACCUGUGGAUUUUGAUGAUACUGAUGAUGAUGAUGAUGAUGAUUCAGAUGAUAAUGACUCAGAUGGUAUCCAAGCCAAGGAAGUCGUGUCAGCCGACCAGGAUGAUUCAGGGGGUCCUCAAGCCAACGAAGUUGCAGCUGUCGACUCGGACUUAAUUGAAGGUUGUUGUAAGACACUACAUGAAAAGGACUGCCUUGUUGUCAUCGAUGGUCUGCAGUCCACAGAAGAUUGGGACUGGAUCAAAGGUACCUUCUUAUCGCAGCCUAUUAAAGGUUGUAUUGUUGUCAUUACAAAUGAAGAACGGGUGGCCAAACAUUGUGUUGAUGAUGAAGAAGAUCGAGCCAUCAACUCUGAAUAUCUGGAGGACGAGGGCCGCAGAAAGAAAAAGGCACGUGACUGGACUAAAAAAUUUGGGGUUGAUGAGGAACUUUCACUAGAAAGAAAUGGGCAUGUGACUGCAGUGUGGGGGAUUGCUGGUAUUGGUAAAUCAGCUUUUGUCAGAAACACAUACUACAACCGCAUACUUGGUUACUUAGACUCACAAUACGUUGGAGAAAUGUUUAGCUAUUAUAGCUGGGUCGAUGUGCCCCAUCCCUUCAAUUUGAUAGAAUUUUCUUGGCGCCUACUUCUAGAUUUCUAUUCUGAUGAUCUUCAAGCCAAGGAAGCGGCAGCAAUUAGCAUCAUAGAAGGUCAGGACCCAAUUCAAAGGUGUCGUAAGAUAUUAACUGAAGAGGAGUGCCUUGUUGUCAUUGAUGGCCUGCAGUCAAAGGAUGAAUGGGACUGA
RNAcentral lists this ribosomal RNA (2064 nucleotides) under Triticum aestivum (bread wheat). RNAcentral describes it as "partial small subunit ribosomal RNA". The record is from RNAcentral. Lineage: Eukaryota; Viridiplantae; Streptophyta; Magnoliopsida; Poales; Poaceae.